Molecule: ribosomal RNA, 492 nt
Filed under: uncultured bacterium
Lineage: Bacteria
Description: partial 16S ribosomal RNA
Rfam family: Bacterial small subunit ribosomal RNA
Source: RNAcentral
AGUGAACGCUGGCGGUAGGCCUAACACAUGCAAGUCGAACGGCAGCACAGUAAGAGCUUGCUCUUACGGGUGGCGAGUGGCGGACGGGUGAGGAAUACAUCGGAAUCUACUUUUUCGUGGGGGAUAACGUAGGGAAACUUACGCUAAUACCGCAUACGACCUACGGGUGAAAGCAGGGGAUCUUCGGACCUUGCGCGAUUGAAUGAGCCGAUGUCGGAUUAGCUAGUUGGCGGGGUAAGGGCCCACCAAGGCGACGAUCCGUAGCUGGUGUGAGAGGAUGGUCAGCCAGACUGGAACUGGGGCACGGUCCAGACUCCGACGGGAGGCAGCAGUGGGGAAUAUUGGACAAUAGGCGCAAGCCUGAUCCAGCCAUACCGCGUGGGUGAAGAAGGCCUUCGGGUUGUAAAGCCCUUUUGUUGGGAGAGAAAAGCAGCAGGUUAAUACCCCGCUGUUCUGACGGUACCCAAAGAAUAAGCACCGGCUAACUUCGUG